Molecule: transfer RNA, 85 nt
Organism: Felis catus (domestic cat)
Lineage: Eukaryota; Metazoa; Chordata; Mammalia; Carnivora; Felidae
Rfam family: tRNA
About the family: Transfer RNA (tRNA) molecules are approximately 80 nucleotides in length. Their secondary structure includes four short double-helical elements and three loops (D, anti-codon, and T loops).
Source: Rfam
GCCUGGGUGGCUCAGUCGGUUAAGCGUCUGACUCCAGCUCAGGUCAUGAUCUCACACUCCAUGGGUUCGAGUCCCACGUCAGGCU